GCGGCAGGCUUAACACAUGCAAGUCGAACGAGAAACUAGACUUCGGUUUAGUGGAAAGUGGCAGACGGGUGAGUAACGCGUGGGAAUCUACCUUUGAGUGGGGAAUAACAACUAGAAAUGGUUGCUAAUACCGCAUACACCCUCCGGGGGAAAGGCUUCGGCCGCUCUUAGAUGAGCCCGCGUACGAUUAGUUUGUUGGUGAGGUAAAGGCUCACCAAGACUACGAUCGUUAGCUGGUUUGAGAGGAUGAUCAGCCACACUGGGACUGAGACACGGCCCAGACUCCUACGGGAGGCAGCAGUGGGGAAUAUUGGACAAUGGGCGAAAGCCUGAUCCAGCCAUGCCGCGUGAGUGAAGAAGGCCUUAGGGUUGUAAAACUCUUUCGGCAGGGAAGAUAAUGACGGUACCUGCAGAAGAAGCUCCGGCU
Molecule: ribosomal RNA, 427 nt
Filed under: uncultured Pedomicrobium sp.
Lineage: Bacteria; Pseudomonadati; Pseudomonadota; Alphaproteobacteria; Hyphomicrobiales; Hyphomicrobiaceae
Description: bacterial SSU rRNA
Rfam family: Bacterial small subunit ribosomal RNA
Source: RNAcentral